Molecule: ribosomal RNA, 489 nt
Filed under: uncultured bacterium
Lineage: Bacteria
Description: partial 16S ribosomal RNA
Rfam family: Bacterial small subunit ribosomal RNA
Source: RNAcentral
UUGAACGCUGGCGGCAGGCCUAACACAUGCAAGUCGAACGGUAACAGGAAGAAGCUUGCUUCUUUGCUUACGAGUGGCGUACGGGUGAGUAAUGUCUGGGAAACUGCCUGAUGGAGGGGGAUAACUACUGGAAACGGUAGCUAAUACCGCAUAACGUCGCAAGACCAAAGAGGGGGACCUUCGGGCCUCUUGCCAUCGCAUGUGCCCAGAUGGGAUUAGCUAGUAGGUGGGGUAACGGCUCACCUAGGCGACGAUCCCUAGCUUGUCUGAGAGGAUGACCAGCCACACUGGAACUGAGACACGGUACAGACUCCUACGGGAGGCAGCAGUGGGGAAUAUUGCACAAUGGGCGCAAGCCUGAUGCAGCAAUGCCGCGUGUAUGAAGAAGGCCUUCGGGUUGUAAAGUACUUUCAGCGGGGAGGAAGGGAGUAAAGUUAAUACCUUUGCUCAUUGACGUUACCCGCAGAAGAAGCACCGGCUAACUCCGUG